UACGUAGGUGGCAAGCGUUGUCCGGAUUUACUGGGCGUAAAGAGCGCGUAGGCGGUCGUCCAAGUCGCGUGUGAAAGCCCCCGGCUCAACUGGGGAGGGUCACGCGAUACUGGUCGACUCGAAGGCAGGAGAGGGUAGUGGAAUUCCCGGUGUAGUGGUGAAAUGCGUAGAUAUCGGGAGGAACACCAGUGGCGAAGGCGACUACCUGGCCUGUUCUUGACGCUGAGGCGCGAAAGCUAGGGGAGCAAACGGG
Molecule: ribosomal RNA, 253 nt
Filed under: uncultured bacterium
Lineage: Bacteria
Description: partial 16S ribosomal RNA
Rfam family: Bacterial small subunit ribosomal RNA
Source: RNAcentral